UUCUUGUGCGCCCAACAACAGGGAUAAGUCCUGCCUAUUUCAACGGUGAUGCCUGUACCAAUGCUCGACAUUAACCUAACAUUCGCAGGCUAUUGGAAAACGCAGGCCCUGACAUUCGCAGGCUACUAGAAAAUGCAUUCCUUUAGAAAAUGCAUGCCUCUCUCUCUCUAUACCGGAAAACGCAAGCUUCUCUCUCUACUGAAAAACAGAGGCCUUUCUCUACCAGAAGCAAGCCUCUCUCUCUCUACUGGAAAACAUAGGUCUCUCCUCUCAACUGGAAAAUGCAGGCCUCUCUCUCUAUUUCAGAGUAAAGCUCCCUCCUCACAGUAGCAUGCAUCUCUCUCUCUACUUCAGAGCAAAGCCCUCUCUCACAUCCUGUCUCUCUCACGCCAGGACCAUAGACGCAUGCCUCUCUCUCUACUUCAGAGCAUUAGAUUGAUCCUCACAGACGCAUGCCUCUCAUCUCAUCCUCUUUCUUUCUCAUGCCAAGACCACAGGAAUAUCAGUAUUGUAAAUUCUUGGGGUGUGACGUGCAUGCAUGCCAUAACAUCCUUGAGUCUCCUCGAGCACGAACAAAGGGAGACCUACCAAUGAUAGAUAUAUACUUCGGGCAGAGAUAGAGGUAGAGAAAGCGAAAGCGAAAGCAAAAGCAAAAGAGAAGGAAGUUACCCGAAAGUGCACAGUUUUCAAAGGGAGUGAACAUGACAUAAGGAAUUGCUCAGCUGUCUCACGUUCAAUGUUAAAUGUCAAUAAAAGAUGUACAGAUGGGUCAUGUGAGAAUGUGGAACACGAGUAAUGGUGACAUACACUUGUUGAUCUAGUGCAAGAAUUGUGGCAAGCAUUGGAGAAUGGACGUCGUUGUUCACUCAUGUGCAAUUAGAAGUGGGCUGGAAAACUAUGUGGCUUAUGUCAAAAGUCAUGAUUAGCUCUUUUUGAUGAUAAGAUUGUAGCAUUAUGGCUCAUGGACAAACGUUGUGCAAGGUUUAUUGACUUGUUGGAUUCUUUCAUCUCAAUUUAGUUGUAUGUAUCUAAGUUUGUUUGUUAUAACCUGGAGGUACAACAUUGUACUUGCAACUACGUAAAAUGGCUCAAGACAAUUGUUGGAACAUUGGCAUUUA
Amborella trichopoda is the source of this 1118-nucleotide long non-coding RNA. RefSeq lists it as uncharacterized. The record is from RefSeq and is a predicted model, not a curated record. Lineage: Eukaryota; Viridiplantae; Streptophyta; Magnoliopsida; Amborellales; Amborellaceae.